RNAcentral lists this long non-coding RNA (265 nucleotides) under Felis catus (domestic cat). Its description in RNAcentral is "lncRNA (ENSFCAG00000047492.1)". Lineage: Eukaryota; Metazoa; Chordata; Mammalia; Carnivora; Felidae. The record is from RNAcentral.
CCAGGAUAGCGCUGGUACCUGUGAGUGACACUUUCUUGGACCGUCACCAGGAGUUAUAGAGUGCUCUCCCCACCCCUACGAGUCUAAGGCAAUGUUCAGGGUCCAUUCUUGGCUUCCCCUUGGAUUUAUCAACUUGAAUUGAUCCUGAUGUUUAGUGAGGUCAAACUGUAAUAAUCAGCCAGGAAUAACGGACUGUGCGAAUGGAGCCCAUGCUGCAUGCCAGAGCCCUGACUAAUGUGCCCUUUGCCAGCAGGACACAGGACAC